GGUAUGUAAAGCUCUAUCAGCAGGGAAGAUAAUGACGGUACUUGACUAAGAAGCACCGGCUAAAUACGUGCCAGCAGCCGCGGUAAUACGUAUGGUGCAAGCGUUAUCCGGAUUUACUGGGUGUAAAGGGAGCGCAGGCGGUGCGGCAAGUCUGAUGUGAAAGCCCGGGGCUCAACCCCGGUACUGCAUUGGAAACUGUCGUACUAGAGUGUCGGAGGGGUAAGCGGAAUUCCUAGUGUAGCGGUGAAAUGCGUAGAUAUUAGGAGGAACACCAGUGGCGAAGGCGGCUUACUGGACGAUAACUGACGCUGAGGCUCGAAAGCGUGGGGAGCAAACAGGAUUAGAUACCCUGGUAGUCCACGCCGUAAA
This 369-nucleotide ribosomal RNA is filed under the name uncultured bacterium. RNAcentral describes it as "bacterial SSU rRNA". It matches the Rfam family "Bacterial small subunit ribosomal RNA", at positions 420 to 806 of the family's 1533-position model. The record is from RNAcentral.